Long non-coding RNA from Daktulosphaira vitifoliae (grape phylloxera), 475 nucleotides. RefSeq lists it as uncharacterized. The transcript is spliced from 3 exons. NCBI's taxonomy places the organism in Eukaryota, Metazoa, Arthropoda, Insecta, Hemiptera, Phylloxeridae. The record is from RefSeq and is a predicted model, not a curated record.
UUAAUAUCCAAUAUAUUCCAUAGAGGAUAUCUUAAAAAUAUUAUUAAAAAACACAAUGAAAAAUUAUAUAUAAACACAAUUUUGUAUUUUCGAUCAAUAACAACAAAAAUUCAAUAAUGUUCCAUCAAUAGAACACAAUACAAGUAAACUUAAAAAAUAUUGUGUUUUAAAACAAGUAAAAAAAAAAAUUCAAUCGGUGAAAUAAAACUUAUGAUAAACACGUCAUAAUGUAGCAGCACCUCCGGUGUAUGCUGACUCGCUCCAUUUUUUCCUAUGUACAAUCUUCUUAAUUCUUUUAUAAUAAUGGCCUAAUAAAAUUUAUAAAUAAAAUUUCUAUCGCAAAUUUUGGUCACUUGGAAAUAUUUACAAAUUAGCAAUUCAUAUUCAAGGAUAGGUCGGCCUAGCAGAUAGAAACAAUUUAUUUUUCAGAAGUAAUUUACGAUAAGAUUUAGUAGAACAUAAAGAAAUAAUCAAA